GACGAACGCUGGCGGCGUGCUUAACACAUGCCAGUUGAACGGAAAGGCCCUGCUUUUGUGGGGUGCUCGAGUGGCGAACGGGUGAGUAACACGUGAGUAACCUGCCCUUGACUUUGGGAUAACUUCAGGAAACUGGGGCUAAUACCGGAUAGGAGCUCCUGCUGCAUGGUGGGGGUUGGAAAGUUUCGGCGGUUGGGGAUGGACUCGCGGCUUAUCAGCUUGUUGGUGGGGUAGUGGCUUACCAAGGCUUUGACGGGUAGCCGGCCUGAGAGGGUGACCGGCCACAUUGGGACUGAGAUACGGCCCAGACUCCUACGGGAGGCAGCAGUGGGGAAUAUUGCACAAUGGGCGGAAGCCUGAUGCAGCAACGCCGCGUGCGGGAUGACGGCCUUCGGGUUGUAAACCGCUUUCGCCUGUGACGAAGCGUGAGUGACGGUAAUGGGUAAAGAAGCACCGGCUAACUACGUG
RNAcentral lists this ribosomal RNA (468 nucleotides) under uncultured bacterium. RNAcentral describes it as "partial 16S ribosomal RNA". It matches the Rfam family "Bacterial small subunit ribosomal RNA", at positions 28 to 507 of the family's 1533-position model. The record is from RNAcentral.